GCGUUCAUAGCUCAGUUGGUUAGAGCACCACCUUGACAUGGUGGGGGUCGUGUGGUUCGAGUCCACUCGGGACGCACCA
RNAcentral lists this transfer RNA (79 nucleotides) under Escherichia coli. RNAcentral's name for it is "tRNA-Val". It matches the Rfam family "tRNA". Rfam says of the family: Transfer RNA (tRNA) molecules are approximately 80 nucleotides in length. The record is from RNAcentral. Lineage: Bacteria; Pseudomonadati; Pseudomonadota; Gammaproteobacteria; Enterobacterales; Enterobacteriaceae.